RNAcentral lists this ribosomal RNA (282 nucleotides) under uncultured bacterium. RNAcentral's name for it is "partial 16S ribosomal RNA". It matches the Rfam family "Bacterial small subunit ribosomal RNA", at positions 335 to 631 of the family's 1533-position model. The record is from RNAcentral.
CUGCCUACGGGGGGCAGCAGUGGGGAAUAUUGCACAAUGGGGGAAACCCUGAUGCAGCGACGCCGCGUGAGUGAAGAAGUAUUGCGGUAUGUAAAGCUCUAUCGGCAGGGAAGAAAAAAAUGACAGUACCUGACUAAGAAGCCCCGGCUAACUACGUGCCAGCAGCCGCGGUAAUACGUAGGGGGCAAGCGUUAUCCGGAUUUACUGGGUGUAAAGGGAGCGUAGGCGGCCACGCAAGCCAGAAGUGAAAACCCGGGGCUCAACCCUGGGAGUGCUUUUGAA